CAUAACAAAGGAUUAUUUAUGUGGUGAAGCCAUGAUUCAAGGAAAACUAUCAAAAAUAUUUCAUCAGUUGAGUUUCUCUAAACAGAUACUUCACUAACUCUAAUGAGAACUUUCUCAAGAAACUACAGAAGAAGGUGUUCUGCAUAAUUUUGGGAGUAUACUCAGAAAGAAGAAGCUUAGAAUCUCAGCUGAGAGUCAGUGGAAGCUUACCCAUUGCAGACCACCCCUACAGGCAUGAACAACUAGAAAAUCUGCAUAAAAUAGACAAAAUAUCUCUUGAACUCAUCAGAGAGAUUCUCAGGAAAUGAAGACUUCAGGAAGCAAGGUCGCCCACAAGAAGAAAAAUGAAAGCUAAAUAGAUGACUAUUAUGAAUUUCCAAACUAUGUGUUGAAGAAGGCAAAAUCCCAGGAUGAAAUAAUCCUAAAUUCUGCAUCAUCUCUAGGAGGAUAGUUAUAUACACAUCAGAAAAACUGUUUUGGACAUUAUGUGCCAGAGAAAUAAACUUUUAUCUGUGC
Molecule: non-coding RNA, 516 nt
Organism: Microcebus murinus (gray mouse lemur)
Lineage: Eukaryota; Metazoa; Chordata; Mammalia; Primates; Cheirogaleidae
Source: RefSeq, a predicted model, not a curated record